This 756-nucleotide ribosomal RNA is filed under the name uncultured bacterium. Its description in RNAcentral is "bacterial SSU rRNA". It matches the Rfam family "Bacterial small subunit ribosomal RNA", at positions 8 to 796 of the family's 1533-position model. The record is from RNAcentral.
AGAGUUUGAUCAUGGCUCAGAAUCAACGCUGGCGGCGUGCCUAACACAUGCAAGUCGCACGAGAAAGGGUAGCAAUACCUGAGUACAGUGGCGCACGGGUGAGUAACACGUGAAUAAUCUACCUCCGAGUGGGGAAUAACUUAGGGAAACCUGAGCUAAUACCGCAUAACACUUACGAGUCAAAGCAGCAAUGCGCUUGGAGAGGAGUUCGCGGCAGAUUAGUUAGUUGGCGGGGUAAUGGCCCACCAAGACGAUGAUCUGUAUCCGGCCUGAGAGGGCGCACGGACACACUGGAACUGAAACACGGUCCAGACUCCUACGGGAGGCAGCAGUGGGGAAUUUUGCGCAAUGGGGGAAACCCUGACGCAGCAACGCCGCGUGGAGGAUGAAAUCCCUUGGGAUGUAAACUCCUUUCGAUCGGGACGAUUAUGACGGUACCGGAAGAAGAAGCCCCGGCUAACUUCGUGCCAGCAGCCGCGGUAAUACGAGGGGGGCGAGCGUUGUUCGGAAUUAUUGGGCGUAAAGGGUGCGUAGGCGGUUUGAUAAGUCUGAUGUGAAAUCUAUGGGCUCAACCCAUAGUCUGCAUUAGAAACUGUCGGGCUUGAGUAUGGGAGAGGUGAGUGGAAUUUCCGGUGUAGCGGUGAAAUGCGUAGAUAUCGGAAGGAACACCUGUGGCGAAAGCGGCUCACUGGACCAUUACUGACGCUGAUGCACGAAAGCUAGGGGAGCAAACAGGAUUAGAUACCCCAGUAGUCC